RNAcentral lists this ribosomal RNA (1361 nucleotides) under uncultured bacterium. Its description in RNAcentral is "bacterial SSU rRNA". It matches the Rfam family "Bacterial small subunit ribosomal RNA", at positions 28 to 1381 of the family's 1533-position model. The record is from RNAcentral.
AUUGAACGCUGGCGGCAGGCCUAACACAUGCAAGUCGAGCGGUAGCACAGAGAGCUUGCUCUCGGGUGACGAGCGGCGGACGGGUGAGUAAUGUCUGGGAAACUGCCCGAUGGAGGGGGAUAACUACUGGAAACGGUAGCUAAUACCGCAUAACGUCGCAAGACCAAAGAGGGGGACCUUCGGGCCUCUUGCCAUCGGAUGUGCCCAGAUGGGAUUAGCUAGUAGGUGGGGUAACGGCUCACCUAGGCGACGAUCCCUAGCUGGUCUGAGAGGAUGACCAGCCACACUGGAACUGAGACACGGUCCAGACUCCUACGGGAGGCAGCAGUGGGGAAUAUUGCACAAUGGGCGCAAGCCUGAUGCAGCCAUGCCGCGUGUAUGAAGAAGGCCUUCGGGUUGUAAAGUACUUUCAGCGGGGAGGAAGGCGAUAAGGUUAAUAACCUUGUCGAUUGACGUUACCCGCAGAAGAAGCACCGGCUAACUCCGUGCCAGCAGCCGCGGUAAUACGGAGGGUGCAAGCGUUAAUCGGAAUUACUGGGCGUAAAGCGCACGCAGGCGGUCUGUCAAGUCGGAUGUGAAAUCCCCGGGCUCAACCUGGGAACUGCAUUCGAAACUGGCAGGCUUGAGUCUCGUAGAGGGGGGUAGAAUUCCAGGUGUAGCGGUGAAAUGCGUAGAGAUCUGGAGGAAUACCGGUGGCGAAGGCGGCCCCCUGGACGAAGACUGACGCUCAGGUGCGAAAGCGUGGGGAGCAAACAGGAUUAGAUACCCUGGUAGUCCACGCCGUAAACGAUGUCUAUUUGGAGGUUGUGCCCUUGAGGCGUGGCUUCCGGAGCUAACGCGUUAAAUAGACCGCCUGGGGAGUACGGCCGCAAGGUUAAAACUCAAAUGAAUUGACGGGGGCCCGCACAAGCGGUGGAGCAUGUGGUUUAAUUCGAUGCAACGCGAAGAACCUUACCUACUCUUGACAUCCAGAGAACUUUCCAGAGAUGGAUUGGUGCCUUCGGGAACUCUGAGACAGGUGUUGCAUGGCUGUCGUCAGCUCGUGUUGUGAAAUGUUGGGUUAAGUCCCGCAACGAGCGCAACCCUUAUCCUUUGUUGCCAGCGGUCCGGCCGGGAACUCAAAGGAGACUGCCAGUGAUAAACUGGAGGAAGGUGGGGAUGACGUCAAGUCAUCAUGGCCCUUACGAGUAGGGCUACACACGUGCUACAAUGGCGUAUACAAAGAGAAGCGACCUCGCGAGAGCAAGCGGACCUCAUAAAGUACGUCGUAGUCCGGAUUGGAGUCUGCAACUCGACUCCAUGAAGUCGGAAUCGCUAGUAAUCGUGGAUCAGAAUGCUACGGUGAAUACGUUCCCGGGCCU